UACGUAGGCAGCAAGCGUUGUUCGGAGUUACUGGGCGUAAAGGGUGCGUAGGCGGCUCUAUAAGUCUGGUGUGAAAUCUCCCGGCUUAACUGGGAGGGUGCGCUAUAGACUGUGGGGCUAGAGUGUGGGAGAGGAAAGUGGAAUUCCUGGUGUAGCGGUGAAAUGCGUAGAUAUCAGGAGGAACACCGGUGGUGUAAACGGCUUUCUGGACCAUAACUGACGCUGAGGCACGAAAGCGUGGGUAGCAAACAGG
This 253-nucleotide ribosomal RNA is filed under the name uncultured bacterium. Its description in RNAcentral is "partial 16S ribosomal RNA". It matches the Rfam family "Bacterial small subunit ribosomal RNA", at positions 524 to 776 of the family's 1533-position model. The record is from RNAcentral.